This 253-nucleotide ribosomal RNA is filed under the name uncultured bacterium. Its description in RNAcentral is "partial 16S ribosomal RNA". It matches the Rfam family "Bacterial small subunit ribosomal RNA", at positions 524 to 776 of the family's 1533-position model. The record is from RNAcentral.
UACGUAGGGUGCGAGCGUUAAUCGGAAUUACUGGGCGUAAAGCGUGCGCAGGCGGUUUCACAAGCUCGAUGUGAAAGCCCCGGGCUUAACCUGGGAAUGGCAUUGAGGACUGUGGAGCUCGAGUGCGGCAGAGGGAGGUGGAAUUCCACGUGUAGCAGUGAAAUGCGUAGAGAUGUGGAGGAACACCGAUGGCGAAGGCAGCCUCCUGGGCCGACACUGACGCUCAUGCACGAAAGCGUGGGGAGCAAACAGG